RNAcentral lists this ribosomal RNA (229 nucleotides) under uncultured bacterium. RNAcentral's name for it is "partial 16S ribosomal RNA". It matches the Rfam family "Bacterial small subunit ribosomal RNA", at positions 568 to 796 of the family's 1533-position model. The record is from RNAcentral.
UGCGUAGGCGGCCAAAUUAGUCAGGGGUGAAAGCUCGCAGCUCAACUGCGGAAUUGCCUUUGAUACUGUUUGGCUUGAAUCAGGAUGAGGUCAGCGGAAUAUGGCAUGUAGCGGUGAAAUGCAUAGAUAUGCCAUAGAACACCAAUUGCGAAGGCAGCUGACUAGACCUGCAUUGACGCUGAGGCACGAAAGCGUGGGGAGCGAACAGGAUUAGAUACCCUGGUAGUCC